UUUUUUUUUUUUUUUUUUUUUUUGGAGAGACUGGAAGGAGGACAGGGAAGGAAAAAAAUCAUGUAAUUAUAUUGUAAUCCUCAAACUAAAAUUUAAAAAACCCACAAAAAAGAAUGUAUUUUACAUGGCAUACUAAUGGCAAAGCACCUUUUACCUUUCUCUUUCUGAUGGAGACAUGACUACAGAAGGCCUGUGUAGAAAUAGAAUGCUCUACUGUGAUGAACAUGCUCCUGGCAACCUUCUGAUAGUUAUUACUUACAUCAUCCUGUAGGGCUUUUCAAAUGAGGAGCCUUUGUGUUGGCUAAUGAGGUAAUGUCUAUAUAAAUAAAUUGAUUUUUAAAAAAAUAUAAUAUCUUUAUUACAUUUUUAAGAAUUUUAUAUUUACCCUCCUCACCCAAGUCCCUACACACACAAAUUCGUGACCUAUCUAUCUAUCCCUUUCUGUCUUUCUCUUUUCUCUCUCUCCAGUACCUUUCUUUCUUUCUUGAAAACUCAAGUCCAAUUUACAUUGCUUAACGACCCUUAGGUGUGGCACCUGUCCUAUGGAAUGUUCUAUUUAUCAAGGGUCAUCUCAUUAAGUGGAAUUGACUCUUUUUCUUCAAGAAGCUAUAAAACUCAAAUCUCAAUUCACCAUCCACCAUCCUAUAAAAUUCCGCCAUUCUAACUUUUUGGCGAUAUGACUUAAAGAAAGAUUUGUUUGUUACAAAGUUCGAUGAAAUCUCAUUUGUUUUUUUUCCCCUCAAUCUACCUGUCCAUGGAGUAAAUUACCUCUUCUCAAUAAUUUAUUUCUCUCUUCCCACCAUUUCUUCCGAUUUUUCUUUCCUCUCUCAUUUAAUUCUUUAAUUUCUGCUACCUCUUUUCUCUCCUUUCUUCUGUCAUUCUCAAUAUCCUUUCUUUUUAAGAGUCCUUUUUAGAAUCCCCUGAAUCCACAUUAUUGAGACAAAUCUAGUGGAGCAAAGAUGGAGAAAAUUUUGGAGAUGAUUUUCCAGUUAUUAAACAGAUGAAAGCGAAACCUCUCACUUCUGAACUUAAAGGCAGUGUGUUGAAAUGUCAGAAGAAUAGGUCAUCCAUCCCCUGACACUUCUUGUUGAGUAAUACUGCUGUCUUAUUUCUUCUUGAUAUUAAAACCCCUUAAAGAAUGAAGAGUUAUUCCUCCCCCUAUCCUGUAUGCUUUAAUGGCCUGAGGUUCUGAAUAUUCUUGUCCAUGAGAAGACAAGGUUAUCUUCUGUUCUAUCUAAGAAUAUUUUUAUUAGUGAGAAGGACAACGUGGCAACAAGCUGAAUGACAUCUCCCAGUUUCCCAGAAACUGUAACCCCAAGGUCUGCUUCAAAUG
This 1333-nucleotide long non-coding RNA is filed under the name Mus musculus (house mouse). RNAcentral's name for it is "long non-coding RNA chr2:67670166-67671499". Lineage: Eukaryota; Metazoa; Chordata; Mammalia; Rodentia; Muridae. The record is from RNAcentral.